GAGUGCGUGUCCUAUCAGUUAGUUGGUGAUGUAAUGGCUCACCACGACUAAGACAUGUAUCCGGCCUGAGAGGGUGUACGGCCACAUGGUGACUGAGAUACGGUCCUGACUUCUACGGAAGGCAGCAGUGACGAAUAUUGCGCAAUGUGGGAAACCCUGAUGCUGAGACGCCGCGUGGGGGAUGAAGUCUUUCGAGACGUAGACUCCUUUUAAGUGGUACGAAACAGCGGGCAGUUAAUACCUUCCCGGCUUGACGGUACCACUUGAAUAAGCCCCGGCUAAGUACGUGCCAGCAGGCGAGGUAACAGGUAGGGGGCAUGCGUUGCUCGGAUUCACUGGGUCUAAAGGGCUCGCAUGCGGAUAUCUAAGUCUUGAGUUAAAUCUACAGGCUCAAGUUGUAGCUGUCUGAGAAACUGGAUGUCUUGAGGAAGAGAUAGGAAAGAGGAAUUCCCGGUGUAAGGGUGGAAUGUGUAAGAUAUCGGGAGGAACAACUAACGGAGAAGGCUAGUUUCUGGCUCUUAGCUGAUGCUCAGGAGCGAAAGCGUGGGAAGCAAACAGGAUAAGAUACCCUGGUAGUCCAUGCCCUAAAUGAUGGGUGCUAGGUGUCGGGAUAUAAA
This 617-nucleotide ribosomal RNA is filed under the name uncultured organism. Its description in RNAcentral is "bacterial SSU rRNA". It matches the Rfam family "Bacterial small subunit ribosomal RNA", at positions 227 to 834 of the family's 1533-position model. The record is from RNAcentral.